Molecule: ribosomal RNA, 90 nt
Filed under: Aeromonadaceae bacterium
Lineage: Bacteria; Pseudomonadati; Pseudomonadota; Gammaproteobacteria; Aeromonadales; Aeromonadaceae
Description: partial 16S ribosomal RNA
Rfam family: Bacterial small subunit ribosomal RNA
Source: RNAcentral
UAAUUGAAGAGUUUGAUCAUGGCUCAGAUUGAACGCUGGCGGCAGGCCUAACACAUGCAAGUCGAACGGCAGCGGGGAGUAGCUUGCUAC